This 60-nucleotide transfer RNA is filed under the name Osborniella crotophagae. Its description in RNAcentral is "tRNA-Phe". Lineage: Eukaryota; Metazoa; Arthropoda; Insecta; Psocodea; Menoponidae. The record is from RNAcentral.
UUCUUGAUAGCUUAAUUAUAAAGCAUAAUCCUGAAGAGAUUAAGAUGAUUAAUUUCUCAA